Trifolium pratense (red clover) is the source of this 434-nucleotide long non-coding RNA. RefSeq lists it as uncharacterized. The record is from RefSeq and is a predicted model, not a curated record. The transcript has 2 exons. NCBI's taxonomy places the organism in Eukaryota, Viridiplantae, Streptophyta, Magnoliopsida, Fabales, Fabaceae.
CUAAUUGUUACAUUUCUUGUGGAAAAUAUAAUUAUAUGGCUGAAAUUAUAAAGUUAGUUUAUAAUAUAAUUAUUUUCCUUUUGCUAUUUAUUGAUGUAACAGACGUCGAAGGGGGAUUUGACCAUUUGUUCAAAAAAACUAGGAUUAAAUGUUUUAGCGAUUCAGAUUGUGUUAAAUUAUCAUGCCAACGUCCUUUCAUCCCGAUAUGUAUAAACAAAUAUUGUAAAUGUGUUUUAACGUCGAUUCAGUGGUAAGACUUAUUAUGUAUUGUUGUUUUGACUUUGUAAUAAGAUUAUGUUCAUACAUGAUCAUACAAAAUAGUACACAAAUGUCCUAUUAUAAUAAGAAUUUCAUUAUUAUGUAUUGUUGUUUUGACUUUGUACUAUAAAAAGUGAUGGUAAUUAAUGCCAUGAAAUAGGGCAAAUGUUAUUUAA